Molecule: ribosomal RNA, 301 nt
Filed under: uncultured bacterium
Lineage: Bacteria
Description: partial 16S ribosomal RNA
Rfam family: Bacterial small subunit ribosomal RNA
Source: RNAcentral
CAGUCGCCGCGGGAAUACGUAGGGUGCAAGCGUUAAUCGGAAUUACUGGGCGUAAAGCGUGCGCAGGCGGUUUGUUAAGACAGAUGUGAAAUCCCCGGGCUCAACCUGGGAACUGCAUUUGUGACUGGCAAGCUAGAGUAUGGCAGAGGGGGGUGGAAUUCCGCGUGUAGCAGUGAAAUGCGUAGAUAUGCGGAGGAACACCGAUGGCGAAGGCAGCCCCCUGGGCCAAUACUGACGCUCAUGCACGAAAGCGUGGGGAGCAAACAGGAUUAGAUACCCGCGUAGUCCCUGUCUCUUAUAC